UGCGUAGGCGGAAAAUUAAGUCAGUGGUGAAAUCCUGCAGCUCAACUGUAGAACUGUCAUUGAUACUGAUUUUCUUGAAUACAGUUGAGGUAGGCGGAAUAUGUAAUGUAGCGGUGAAAUGCUUAGAUAUUACACAGAACACCGAUUGCGAAGGCAGCUUACUAAACUAUGAUUGACGCUGAGGUACGAAAGCGUGGGGAGCGAACAGGAUUAGAUACCCUGGUAGUCC
This 229-nucleotide ribosomal RNA is filed under the name uncultured bacterium. RNAcentral's name for it is "partial 16S ribosomal RNA". It matches the Rfam family "Bacterial small subunit ribosomal RNA", at positions 568 to 796 of the family's 1533-position model. The record is from RNAcentral.